Cinara cedri is the source of this 754-nucleotide non-coding RNA. NCBI's taxonomy places the organism in Eukaryota, Metazoa, Arthropoda, Insecta, Hemiptera, Aphididae. The record is from the annotation of a GenBank genome assembly.
ACAAGACCGUUUGCUUUCAAAUAGUAUGUAUAAUAUGCGCGUGAUCAAAAGUUAUCCACUGCCUAUAUUCGGUCAAUCGAUUGGUGGUUGAAAAAAGGUCGGUGACUUGUAGACGUGUACCUAUAUAUAUAUAACUAGUAAGUGUAAUCACAGGUCUUUAGUCGUUACACGAAAUGGCUCGGCCGACAACAACGAUAAUAAUGUGUAUAGACUAUUACGAUACAACGUUAAAUUUUGAUAAUUUAUUAUAAGUAAACCGGAAAUGCACGUAUAUAACCGGCCAUUUAAUUCAAUUAGUUUCAUUUGUUUUCGCGUAUAAUAAAUACAUUUUACAUAUUCUAAACAUGCCACCUUCUUCGCCCUCACAGUACACUUACGUAUAGAAAUGUGUCAUCAACUCAGUCCGGAAUGGUGGAAAUAUCGAUUCGGUCAUGUUUUGAAGAGGAAAACCCGAGAGUCCAGUAAUGCAGGGAGACUCUUUUAGCACUUAGACUCAGACAAAACUAUAAAUUAGAGACGACACUACCACAAUGGAAUAUAAAAAAAGUAUGACUUUAUCGUAAACAAACCACCGACAAUUUGUAAUAUAAUUUAGCACCCCUAAAAUAUUCUAUGUGUAUAAGUCACUGGUUUUCAAAGUGUCGCUAGUUUUUAGCUUGACUAAGGCCCAAUUUAAAGAAAUAUUGGCCCAAUGUACGCUUUUUUUGUGGUCUUUAUUAAAUUGAAAAAAAAACAUAUCUUCAAACUUAGUUAU